UGCAGUCGAGCGGUAGAGAGAAGCUUGCUUCUCUUGAGAGCGGCGGACGGGUGAGUAAUGCCUAGGAAUCUGCCUGGUAGUGGGGGAUAACGUUCGGAAACGGACGCUAAUACCGCAUACGUCCUACGGGAGAAAGCAGGGGACCUUCGGGCCUUGCGCUAUCAGAUGAGCCUAGGUCGGAUUAGCUAGUUGGUGGGGUAAUGGCUCACCAAGGCGACGAUCCGUAACUGGUCUGAGAGGAUGAUCAGUCACACUGGAACUGAGACACGGUCCAGACUCCUACGGGAGGCAGCAGUGGGGAAUAUUGGACAAUGGGCGAAAGCCUGAUCCAGCCAUGCCGCGUGUGUGAAGAAGGUCUUCGGAUUGUAAAGCACUUUAAGUUGGGAGGAAGGGUUGUAGAUUAAUACUCUGCAAUUUUGACGUUACCGACAGAAUAAGCACCGGCUAACUCUGUGCCAGCAGCCGCGGUAAUACAGAGGGUGCAAGCGUUAAUCGGAAUUACUGGGCGUAAAGCGCGCGUAGGUGGUUUGUUAAGUUGGAUGUGAAAUCCCCGGGCUCAACCUGGGAACUGCAUUCAAAACUGACUGACUAGAGUAUGGUAGAGGGUGGGUGGAAUUUCCUGUGUAGCGGUGAAAUGCGUAGAUAUAGGAAGGAACACCAGUGGCGAAGGCGACCACCUGGACUAAUACUGACACUGAGGUGCGAAAGCGUGGGGAGCAAACAGGAUUAGAUACCCUGGUAGUCCACGCCGUAAACGAUGUCAACUAGCCGUUGGAAGCCUUGAGCUUUUAGUGGCGCAGCUAACGCAUUAAGUUGACCGCCUGGGGGAGUACGGCCGCCAGGGUUAAAACUCAAAUGAAAUUGACGGGGGGCCCGCCACAA
This 882-nucleotide ribosomal RNA is filed under the name Pseudomonas sp. NCCP-1806. Its description in RNAcentral is "bacterial SSU rRNA". It matches the Rfam family "Bacterial small subunit ribosomal RNA", at positions 56 to 928 of the family's 1533-position model. Lineage: Bacteria; Pseudomonadati; Pseudomonadota; Gammaproteobacteria; Pseudomonadales; Pseudomonadaceae. The record is from RNAcentral.